CGCGUAGGCGGUUUUGUAAGUCGGAUGUGAAAUCCCCGGGCUUAACCUGGGAACUGCAUUCGAUACUGCAUAACUAGAGUAUGGUAGAGGGAAGUGGAAUUCCGGGUGUAACGGUGAAAUGCGUAGAUAUCCGGAGGAACACCAGUGGCGAAGGCGACUUCCUGGGCCAAUACUGACGCUGAGGUGCGAAAGCGUGGGGAGCAAACA
RNAcentral lists this ribosomal RNA (207 nucleotides) under uncultured bacterium. Its description in RNAcentral is "partial 16S ribosomal RNA". It matches the Rfam family "Bacterial small subunit ribosomal RNA", at positions 568 to 774 of the family's 1533-position model. The record is from RNAcentral.